UUCCGGUUGAUCCUGCCGGAGGUCACUGCUAUUGGGAUUCGACUAAGCCAUGCGAGUCGAGAGGGUUCGGCCCUCGGCUGACUGCUCAGUAACACGUGGAUAAUCUGCCCUAUGGUGGAGGAUAACCUCGGGAAACUGAGAAUAAUACUCCAUAGGUCUAGGAUGCUGGAAUGCACCUAGGCUCAAAACUCCGGUGCCAUAGGAUGAGUCUGCGGACUAUCAGGUUGUAGUCAGGGUAAUGACCUGACUAGCCUACGACGGAUAUGGGUUGUGAGAGCAAUAACCCAGAGAUGAUAUCUGAGACACGAUAUCAGGCCCUACGGGGCGCAGCAGGCGCGAAAACUUCACAAUGCGCGAAAGCGCGAUGAGGGAAUCCCAAGUGCUUGCACGUUAGUGUAAGCUGUUUUUAUGUUUAAAAAGCAUAGAGAGUAAGGGCUGGGUAAGACGGGUGCCAGCCGCCGCGGUAAUACCUGCAGCUCAAGUGGUGACCGCUAUUAUUGGGCCUAAAACGUCCGUAGCCGGUUUAAUAAAUGCCUGGGUAAAUUGUGCCGCUUAACGGUACGAAUUCCGGGUAGACUGUUAAGCUUGAGACCGGGAGAAGUUAGAGGUACUCCUGGGGUAGAGGUGAAAUUCUGUAAUCCUAGGGGGACCACCAGUGGCGAAGGCGUCUGACUAGAACGGAUCUGACGGUGAGGGACGAAGCCCUGGGGCGCAAACCGGAUUAGAUACCCGGGUAGUCCAGGGUGUAAACGCUGCUUGCUUGAUGUUAGUCGGGCUCCGAGCCCGAUUAGUGUCGGAGAGAAGUUGUUAAGCAAGCUGCCUGGGAAGUACGAUCGCAAGAUUGAAACUUAAAGGAAUGGCGGGGGAGCACAGCAACGGGUGGAGCGUGCGUUAAUUGGAUUCAACGCCGGA
RNAcentral lists this ribosomal RNA (912 nucleotides) under uncultured archaeon. Its description in RNAcentral is "bacterial SSU rRNA". It matches the Rfam family "Archaeal small subunit ribosomal RNA", at positions 1 to 922 of the family's 1478-position model. The record is from RNAcentral.